CUGCAGCGCGUCCGCGGCCCUCCGCCCUCGCCCUCCCCCCUCCCCACAAAUCUCGCCUCCUCACCCAACGCCAUCAGCGCUGCCCUCCGCUCCAUCCCUGUAGCGCAGACCUUCGCCACCGUCCCUGCCCUUCCUCACCGCGCAAUCACCGCCCUUCCCGACGUGCCUCGGCCGCCAUCCACGGCAUCACCUUCCUUCCCCACGCGCGCGCCCCCUCCUCUCGAUUGCUCCCAGUGGCUCGGCGGCAAUGGAGGCACCACCUGA
RNAcentral lists this unclassified non-coding RNA (264 nucleotides) under Zea mays. RNAcentral describes it as "misc RNA Zm00001eb085660". Lineage: Eukaryota; Viridiplantae; Streptophyta; Magnoliopsida; Poales; Poaceae. The record is from RNAcentral.